Molecule: non-coding RNA, 523 nt
Organism: Pelobates cultripes (western spadefoot toad)
Lineage: Eukaryota; Metazoa; Chordata; Amphibia; Anura; Pelobatidae
Source: the annotation of a GenBank genome assembly
GGAAAGGUGAGUUUUGCGAGAUCUUCUCCCUGCUCCCCUUGGAGGACUUUAUUGACCUCAAAGAGGAUGAUAAGAAGGAUGAGAAGAAGGAGGAGGAGGAAAAAAGGAAGCGGUAUCGUAAGAUCCCGAAAUCCUUUGGUAACUGGUUGAGGGCGUUUUGCGUGUUGGCCAGCGUGCUCGGUGAGAAAUCGCCGGGAUUAUGCUCGUCCCUGUUCUGCUACCUGGACGGCAUUUGGGAAGCAUACCGCACCUAUGGGGGGCUGGCAUGGUGGCGGUACGAUGAACAGUUCAGGCAGCGACUGGCGGCUAACCCGGGUAUGAGGUGGGAUCAGAUGGAUCUGCCUCUCUGGAUGAAGCUAAUGAUGGCUCAGAAGGCGCAGCCCUUUCAAAACUCGGCCGGCGCGAAGGGGCAGUCCGCCUCGUCGGCCGCUUUACAAAAGGGCUUCUGCUGGCUCUACAACGAGGGCCAGUGCAAAUGGGGAACCGCAUGUCGAUUUAAGCACGAGUGCUCUGGUUGCGGGGG